UACGUAGGGUGCAAGCGUUGUCCGGAAUUAUUGGGCGUAAAGCGCGCGCAGGCGGUCCUUUAAGUCUGAUGUGAAAGCCCACGGCUCAACCGUGGAGGGUCAUUGGAAACUGGGGGACUUGAGUGCAGAAGAGGAGAGUGGAAUUCCACGUGUAGCGGUGAAAUGCGUAGAUAUCAGGAGGAACACCGAUGGCGAAGGCAGGUCUCUGGGCUGACACUGACGCUCAUGCACGAAAGCGUGGGGAGCAAACAGG
RNAcentral lists this ribosomal RNA (253 nucleotides) under uncultured bacterium. Its description in RNAcentral is "partial 16S ribosomal RNA". It matches the Rfam family "Bacterial small subunit ribosomal RNA", at positions 524 to 776 of the family's 1533-position model. The record is from RNAcentral.